RNAcentral lists this ribosomal RNA (438 nucleotides) under Streptomyces griseus. Its description in RNAcentral is "bacterial SSU rRNA". It matches the Rfam family "Bacterial small subunit ribosomal RNA", at positions 44 to 500 of the family's 1533-position model. Lineage: Bacteria; Bacillati; Actinomycetota; Actinomycetes; Kitasatosporales; Streptomycetaceae. The record is from RNAcentral.
ACGGUGCUAACAUGCAGUCGAACGAUGAAGCCUUUCGUGGUGCACUGUUGGCGAACGGGUGAGUAACACGUGGGCAAUCUGCCCUUCACUCUGGGACAAGCCCUGGAAACGGGGUCUAAUACCGGAUAACACUCUGUCCCGCAUGGGACGGGGUUAAAAGCUCCGGCGGUGAAGGAUGAGCCCGCGGCCUAUCAGCUUGUUGGUGGGGUAAUGGCCUACCAAGGCGACGACGAGUAGCCGUCCUGAGAGGGCGACCGGCCACACUGGGACUGAUACACGGCGCAGACUCCUACGGGACGCAGCAGUGGGGAAUAUUGCACAAUGGGCGAAAGCCUGAUGCAGCGACGCCGCGUGAGGGAUGACGGCCUUCGGGUUGUAAACCUCUUUCAGCAGGGAAGAAGCGAGAGUGACGGUACCUGCAGAAGAAGCGCCGGCUAA